RNAcentral lists this non-coding RNA (117 nucleotides) under Clostridiales bacterium CHKCI006. RNAcentral describes it as "FMN riboswitch aptamer (RFN element)". It matches the Rfam family "FMN riboswitch aptamer (RFN element)". From Rfam's summary of the family: The RFN element is a highly conserved domain that is found frequently in the 5'-untranslated regions of prokaryotic mRNAs that encode for flavin mononucleotide (FMN) biosynthesis and transport proteins. This element is a metabolite-dependent riboswitch that directly binds FMN in the absence of proteins. In Bacillus subtilis, the riboswitch most likely controls gene expression by causing premature transcription termination within the 5' untranslated region of the ribDEAHT operon and precluding access to the ribosome-binding site of ypaA mRNA. Lineage: Bacteria; Bacillati; Bacillota; Clostridia; Eubacteriales. RNAcentral also lists the same sequence under 1 other name. The record is from Rfam by way of RNAcentral.
UAAACACUUCAGGGCAGAGUGAAAUUCUCUACUGGCGGUAGACUCCGCGAACCCGACAGGGCCGAAUCGGUGCAAUUCCGGUAGCAACAGUCAAAGUCUGGAUGGAAGAAGGUUUUU